RNAcentral lists this ribosomal RNA (476 nucleotides) under Centruroides morenoi. RNAcentral describes it as "partial 16S ribosomal RNA". It matches the Rfam family "Archaeal large subunit ribosomal RNA", at positions 1908 to 2669 of the family's 2987-position model. The record is from RNAcentral. Lineage: Eukaryota; Metazoa; Arthropoda; Arachnida; Scorpiones; Buthidae.
AUUUUUUUGUUGUUAUUAAAAAUGAAUCCUGCUCAAUGUAAAAUAAAUGGCCGCGGUAUUUUGACUGUGCAAAGGUAGCAUAAUAAUUAGUCUUGUAAUUUAAGACUGGGAUGAAAGGAUAAACUAGAAAACUUCUUUCUUAACUAUUAUUUUAUAAUUUUACUUUUUAGUAAAAAGGCUAAAAUGUUUCUUUUAGACAAGAAGACCCUAUAAAACUUUACAUAGAAUGAUUUAAUAAAUUAAUAAUAUGUUUUGCUGGGGCGGUAAAAAAUAUAAACAUUUUUAAAUUGUUAAAAAUAUUAUUAUUCUUAUACCCAAAAAUUUUGAAAUUUAAAUAAGUUACUUUAGGGAUAACAGCGUUAUAUGCUUUUAAAGUUCUAAUUGACAAGUGUGUUUGCGACCUCGAUGUUGGAUUAAAUUACCUUUAUUGCGCAAGAGCGGUGAUAGGAGGUCUGUUCGACCUAUAAAAAUUUCCA